Ostrinia nubilalis (European corn borer) is the source of this 1989-nucleotide long non-coding RNA. RefSeq lists it as uncharacterized. NCBI's taxonomy places the organism in Eukaryota, Metazoa, Arthropoda, Insecta, Lepidoptera, Crambidae. The record is from RefSeq and is a predicted model, not a curated record. The transcript is spliced from 3 exons.
UCGAAAAAUCGUGUUUUUCUUUAAACAAAUUUUAUCUAAAAUCAAUAAUUUCUCAAUCAAUAUUAAUAAGAACUACAUGUGCAUGGAUUGCCAGUUGGAUUGAUGUUUGUUUUAUGAAGAAAUUUCUCUCAAGUAAGAUAUCCACUCGAGAAAGGUUAUUGCAGCUUGCAGCAACAUCAUGUUUUAUCAAGUAUUGAACCACACAAAGGAUUAAAUCUUCAUUACAAUAUCAUUCAUAACUCCAUUUAAAUCAAUGGAAACUUAAUAUGGAUCGUUUCAUGGAGUAACAACAUACUUUGGAGUUUGGACCCAAAAUACAAUACACGUUAAUAUCGAACUUAUAAGGUGUUAAGCUGCAAUUACAAUAAAAGUGCUUGCUAUGGAAUCACCGGUGCUGAUCAUUAUUGUCUACUGUUACUUAAAAUCCAGAUGAACCAACCUUUACUUCCUAUUCAAAUAAGUUUAGAAGAAACCUAUAUAAGCAAUAAAACCAGACCAAGAAUGCUUGAUUACAAACGAUGAACUCAUUUCAUUUGCAAGUUAUGCCAUGACAUAAAUGCAUUAAAUUAGGAAGAUUUGUAUUAGAUGAAUAUUAACUUCUGUUGAUAAGAACAUUUGGUAAGUACCUUUAAAAUUUAAAACACCCUCAAAAUGAUUCUAACACUAUCCUCUGACGAUUUUCGACUAGGAUCAAAUAUAAGUUAAUCCCAUCAAAAACAAUACUUGUCAAAAAAACCAAGUCUCGCAACUCAGCUGUUCUACGGUAAAAAGUUGUGAGAUCCAUGUAAUACCAAGUCCAGGCCAGGAAAUCUUUAACGUUUUACAUAAAUUAUUGACUUGGCCAUCGCACUAAAUAAUUUAAUUUACACGUGUUUUCAUGCGAUGGCCAAGUCAAUAUAUUUAUGUAAAACAUUAAAGAUUUCCUGGCCUGGACUUGGUAUUACAUGGAUCUCACAACUUUUUACCGUAGAACAGCUGAGUUGCGAGACUUGGUUUUUUUGACAAGUAUUGUUUUUGAUGGGAUCUCAUUUCUUUUUGUAUUUUGUAGACAGCAGUUAUGUAUCUAGAAAACUGGACCGAAAGUGAAAAAUUUUACUCGACUUGGCGGUUGCACUACCGUGCCCCCAAAUCUCAUUUCUUUUUGUAUUUUGUAGACAGCAGUUAUGUAUCUAGAAAACUGGACCGAAAUUGAAAAAUUUUACUCGACUUGCCGGUUGCACUACCGUGCUCCUAAAUAUUUUAGUUUUUCCUUGAUUCAUACACCAAACACUACUUAUAUUCCAAAUUUGAAGCUUCUAGGUCUGCUAGAAGUGCCUUAGAAUUUUGAUGAUCGGUGAGUCAGUCAGUGAGUCAGUCAGUGAGUGACAAAAUUAAGUAACUUUGACCCGUUAUAAUUCUUAAACUACUGGUUCAAAUUGAAUGAAAUUUUAAAUAUACCGUGUCUUUACAAUGCCUGCAUAGCUAAUGAAAAUUCAGCCUUCUAGUUUUAUCCACAACGAAGUUACAGGCGGUCGAAAAUGGCCUGAAUUGCUUCGAGAAAAGGAUGGUACGGCCGUGCCGCUUUUUUGCUCGACUUGGUGGGGGCACUGCCGUGCCCCCAGAUUAUUUAAUUACAGAUUGGUGGAAUCCAGAUUCUGUGAAUGUACAUGUAAUUGAUUGACAAGUACACAUUUGACAAGGUGGUGAGAAACGUGUAGAUCUGGCCUGCUUACAGUGGCUAUUGGAUUGGACAGAACCAAGUGAGAGUGAACGUGUGAAUUUAUGGAGAACAUUAAAAACUAUUUUACUAUAAGUCAUAACGCAACUUAUUUUGUAUGAGUUACAUACAAAUGUCAAGCCGUGAGUACAUUAUGUAAAAACUAAAACAAUGUACCUACUGUAAUCACAACAGUAACUGUAAUCUUUUAAAAUCCAAUAGUUUUAAUGCUUAUUGAUUUUCGUAAACAAAAUAUUUCAUGUUAUAUUUCAUCAAUAAAGUUUCAUUUGAUA